AAAUGAACAAGAAAUAGCUGAUUCUUAGGGUAGAUCCUAAGGUCAAAAGAGAUAAUGGGGAUGGGUAAUUGGGUUGAUUAUUUGAUUGUUUAAACAUAAUAAUUAUAUUAUUGUGGGUUGAAAACCCUAUGUACUCACCAGGUUUCCCAACCUGACCCACUCAGUUUAUUUAUAUCACAGGUGUCGAUAUGAAGUCACAUUACACUGAGAGAUUAAAGAGAUGUAGAUCACUAGUGUAAAUAGAUGUAAGUUCCGUUUAUGCUUAUGUUCUUGUAUUGAAGAUGAAAUCCCAAACGUUUUUAAAAUGAAUAAGAUACGUUUCUUCGAAAAUGUUCUGAUAACGUAUUUAUCGUAUUUUUCUGGGAACAAAUUCCGCAACAUUUUGAUGAAAAGAAGUACUCUGAUUUUUAAAAAGCAUAAACAAAAUCGGUCUUUUCUGGCUGUGAAAAUGGGGAUGUCACAAGGAGUUAGAGUAGGAAUGGAGGUUGUUUUAAACCCUUUAUCCGCGUGAGACUUGAUACGAUUCUCUUCAACAAUCAACUCAUGAACAACAUAAUGAGUCCCUAUUAAUUUAGAUGAAAUCUUAUCUGGAAAGCCUUAGAUGAAAUCUUAUCUGGACUCUUAUCUGGAACAUAGGCCCUAAGCAACAUAUGGACUCUUAUCUGGAAAGCCUUAGAUGAAAUCUUUAUGGACUAUCAUAGAGAUUUCGUCCACCCUAUACCAAUAAAGUCCAUGAGCCCAAACUAUAAAUAUUACUGAUUUACAUAAUCAGUCCCUAUUAAUUUAAUCAGACUCUUUUGAUCACCAAAUUAAUUCAAAAUUAGUUUCUGAUCAAUAUUAACUAGAUAAUAUGAUGUCUCAAUUAAUAUAUUAUUCUUAUAAUAUAUUAAUAAAUCAUAAUUAAUCCUCUUUCUUCAUAAUUCAUCCUAUCAGUUGCUAUGGUGAAGGCAACCCAAAAGGAUCAUGCUUAUAAUCGGGUCAAGUACAUACCAAAAUAUUUAUGGGCUUAGACACCUAAUCCAACAAUCUCCCACUUGGAUAAGUCUAAUAACUAUUUUCCAAGUAUGACUUCAAAACCUGAUUAGCAAUCGUAGCUUUCAUAAGCCGCUAUCGAACUCUGAUCUUAUCAGCAACGCGUCCUUUAGAUAAUGGAUCAUAUAUUCCUUGAUUUUCAAGAUAUCGUAUACACAUGAGACAUGGAUUAUAAUCAUUCUCUCUAUCUAUGUGUUUUUUCUGGAUUUCUGAUUUAUGACGACUGAGUAAUUGAACAAAUCAAAUCAGUCCAGGCUUGGCCAAGCGCUUUGGGUGUCAUCACUAAAUCAUCGAUGGGCCCACAUACAUCACUUUUAUCCCUCUUAGGGUAAAACGAACGGAUAAGCUUCGACUCAUAUGCUUGCACUAUUUACUCAUCAAAUCACACACAACAAUAUGUUUUAUAACAUCAAGUUACUAAUGUGUUUAUGUAUUAUCAAUGUGCAACCGACUCAUAAACAACAACUCAUAUCUCUCCGUUUCAAGAAUAUAAGAUAUUAUCGUCUCACAAUCACUCAUGAUAAAAUCCUUGAAGUGAUUCAUGUGAGUGUGGGUUUAAUCCAAUACUCAAAUCUUAUUACAGGAGCACUUAUAAACACUGCGUCAGACUUUUUCUAUGUCUAAACACUUUAGACAAUCUACAGUCGGAUUUAUGACAGUCUUACCUCAUUACCUACUUCCAAAUUAUGAUUGACUGUGGAUUGAAUAACCUAGUUAUUCUGGAAGUCAAAACAUGCGAAAUUAAACACAAGAAUAAUCGAAUCCAAUAUGGCCUCAAAACUUUUGAGUAUAAAAUAAAACAUUUAUUAUUUAAUCACCAUAGUGAUUACACAUUAUUCAUUGUAUAAUGUUUCGGAUAAUCAACUUAUUACUUGAAUUGAAAAAAUAGUCAUCCCAUGCUCCAAGCAUGCACACUAUGUUUACCUAUGGUCCUUUCUUUGUGAAAUAGAUCAAUUGAACACAUUUCCAAUGAUGCUUAUUUCACAAUUCCCAAUCCUUGUGACAAGUAUAAGAAUGCUAAAUUCGUACCUAUUCCUUAGGAUACUCCUUAGGAAUAAAUGAACAAGAAAUAGCUGAUUCUUAGGGUAGAUCCUAAGGACAAAGGAGAUAAUGGGGAUGGGUAAUUGGGUUGAUUAUUUGAUUGUUUAAACAUAAUAAUUAUAUUAUUGUGGGUUGAAAACCCUAUGUACUCACCAGGUUUCCCAACCUGACCCACUCAGUUUAUUUAUAUCACAGGUGUCGAUAUGAAGUCACAUUACACUGAGAGAUUAAAGAGAUGUAGAUCACUAGUGUAAAUAGAUGUAAGUUCCGUUUAUGCUUAUGUUCCUGUAUUGACGAUGACAUCCCAAACGUUUUAAAAUGAAUAAAAUACGUUUCUUCGAAAAUGUUUUGAUAACGUAUUUAUCGUAUUUUUCUGGGAACAAAUUCCGCAACAUUUUGAUGAAAAGAAGUACUCUGAUUUUUAAAAAGCAUAAACAAAAUCGGUCUUUUCUGGCUGUGAAAAUGGGGAUGUCACAAGGAGUUAGAGUAGGAAUGGAGGUUGUUUUAAACCCUUUAUCCGCGUGAGACUUGAUACGAUUCUCUUCAACAAUCAACUCAUGAACAACAUAAUGAGUCCCUAUUAAUUUAGAUGAAAUCUUAUCUGGAAAGCCUUAGAUGAAAUCUUAUCUGGACUCUUAUCUGGAACAUAUGGACUCUUAUCUGGAACAUAGGCCCUAAGCAACAUAUGGACUCUUAUCUGGAAAGCCUUAGAUGAAAUCUUUAUGGACUAUCAUAGAGAUUUCGUCCACCCUAUACCAAUAAAGUCCAUGAGCCCAAACUAUAAAUAUUACUGAUUUACAUAAUCAGUCCCUAUUAAUUUAAUCAGACUCUUUUGAUCACCAAAUUAAUUCAAAAUUAGUUUCUGAUCAAUAUUAACUAGAUAAUAUGAUGUCUCAAUUAAUAUAUUAUUCUUAUAAUAUAUUAAUAAAUCAUAAUUAAUCCUCUUUCUUCAUAAUUCAUCCUAUCAGUUGCUAUGGUGAAGGCAACCCAAAAGGAUCAUGCUUAUAAUCGGGUCAAGUACAUACCAAAAUAUUUAUGGGCUUAGACACCUAAUCCAACAAUCUCCCACUUGGAUAAGUCUAAUAACUAUUUUCCAAGUAUGACUUCAAAACCUGAUUAGCAAUCGUAGCUUUCAUAAGCCGCUAUCGAACUCUGAUCUUAUCAGCAACGCGUCCUUUAGAUAAUGGAUCAUAUAUUCCUUGAUUUUCAAGAUAUCGUAUACACAUGAGACAUGGAUUAUAAUCAUUCUCUCUAUCUAUGUGUUUUUUCUGGAUUUCUGAUUUAUGACGACUGAGUAAUUGAACAAAUCAAAUCAGUCCAGGCUUGGCCAAGCGCUUUGGGUGUCAUCACUAAAUCAUCGAUGGGCCCACAUACAUCACUUUUAUCCCUCUUAGGGUAAAACGAACGGAUAAGCUUCGACUCAUAUGCUUGCACUAUUUACUCAUCAAAUCACACACAACAAUAUGUUUUAUAACAUCAAGUUACUAAUGUGUUUAUGUAUUAUCAAUGUGCAACCGACUCAUAAACAACAACUCAUAUCUCUCCGUUUCAAGAAUAUAAGAUAUUAUCGUCUCACAAUCACUCAUGAUAAAAUCCUUGAAGUGAUUCAUGUGAGUGUGGGUUUAAUCCAAUACUCAAAUCUUAUUACAGGAGCACUUAUAAACACUGCGUCAGACUUUUUCUAUGUCUAAACACUUUAGACAAUCUACAGUCGGAUUCAUGACAGUCUUACCUCAUUACCUACUUCCAAAUUAUGAUUGACUGUGGAUUGAAUAACCUAGUUAUUCUGGAAGUCAAAACAUGCGAAAUUAAACACAAGAAUAAUCGAAUCCAAUAUGGCCUCAAAACUUUUGAGUAUAAAAUAAAACAUUUAUUAUUUAAUCACCAUAGUGAUUACACAUUAUUCAUUGUAUAAUGUUUCGGAUAAUCAACUUAUUACUUGAAUUGAAAAAAUAGUCAUCCCAUGCUCCAAGCAUGCACACUAUGUUUACCUAUGGUCCUUUCUUUGUGAAAUAGAUCAAUUGAACACAUUUCCAAUGAUGCUUAUUUCACAAUUCCCAAUCCUUGUGACAAGUAUAAGAAUGCUAAAUUCUUGCCACUAUUGGAAUGUGUUAGAUUCUAACAUUCUACGCAAUGAUCCUUUUGUAAUGACAUAACACCAAAGUCACAAAGACUUUACCAAUGAUAUUACAAAGUGCUCUAUUGGAGAUUGUUACAAGACAACUCCAUAUAUAUGAAGUCUCAUAUUCAAAGUACGUUCCUUUGAACAUCCUUCUUGCAUAAAAGUUUCUAAUCUACAUAGAUUCUAAAUAUCUAACUCCGAUUAUGGAAAUAUUUCC
Molecule: long non-coding RNA, 4412 nt
Filed under: Lactuca sativa (garden lettuce)
Lineage: Eukaryota; Viridiplantae; Streptophyta; Magnoliopsida; Asterales; Asteraceae
Description: long non-coding RNA (LSAT_LNC004319)
Source: RNAcentral